AUUGAACGCUGGCGGUAGGCCUAACACAUGCAGGUCGAGCGGAUGAAGGGAGCUUGCUCCUGGAUUCAGCGGCGGACGGGUGAGUAAUGCCUAGGAAUCUGCCUGGUAGUGGGGGAUAACGUCCGGAAACGGGCGCUAAUACCGCAUACGUCCUGAGGGAGAAAGUGGGGGAUCUUCGGACCUCACGCUAUCAGAUGAGCCUAGGUCGGAUUAGCUAGUUGGUGGGGUAAAGGCCUACCAAGGCGACGAUCCGUAACUGGUCUGAGAGGAUGAUCAGUCACACUGGAACUGAGACACGGUCCAGACUCCUACGGGAGGCAGCAGUGGGGAAUAUUGGACAAAGGGCGAAAGCCUGAUCCAGCCAUGCCGCGUGUGUGAAGAAGGUCUUCGGAUUGUAAAGCACUUUAAGUUGGGAGGAAGGGCAGUAAGUUAAUACCUUGCUGUUUUGACGUUACCAACAGAAUAAGCACCGGCUAACUUCGUG
This 484-nucleotide ribosomal RNA is filed under the name uncultured bacterium. RNAcentral's name for it is "partial 16S ribosomal RNA". It matches the Rfam family "Bacterial small subunit ribosomal RNA", at positions 30 to 507 of the family's 1533-position model. The record is from RNAcentral.